AGGACGAACGCUGGCGGCGUGCUUAACACAUGCAAGUCGAGCGGUGAUCCUCCUUCGGGAGGUGAUCAGCGGCGAACGGGUGAGUAACACGUGGGCAACCUGCCCCUCACACUGGGAUAACCUCGGGAAACCGGGGCUAAUACCGGAUACGACCUCGAGCGGCAUCUCUUGAGGUGGAAAGCUCCGACGGUGAGGGAUGGGCCCGCGGCCUAUCAGCUUGUUGGUGGGGUAAUGGCCUACCAAGGCGACGACGGGUAGCCGGCCUGAGAGGGCGACCGGCCACACUGGGACUGAGACACGGCCCAGACUCCUACGGGAGGCAGCAGUGGGGAAUAUUGCGCAAUGGGCGAAAGCCUGACGCAGCGACGCCGCGUGAGGGAUGAAGGCCUCGGUUGUAAACCUCUUUCAGCAGGGACGAAGCGAAAGUAGACGGUACCUGCAGAAGAAGCACCGGCUAACUACGCGCCAGCAGCCGCGGAA
This 480-nucleotide ribosomal RNA is filed under the name uncultured bacterium. RNAcentral describes it as "SSU rRNA". It matches the Rfam family "Bacterial small subunit ribosomal RNA", at positions 26 to 522 of the family's 1533-position model. The record is from RNAcentral.